Molecule: unclassified non-coding RNA, 327 nt
Filed under: soil metagenome
Description: partial contains 5.8S ribosomal RNA, internal transcribed spacer 2, and large subunit ribosomal RNA
Rfam family: 5.8S ribosomal RNA (bases 1-119)
Source: RNAcentral
GAUGAAAACGCAGCGAAAUGCGAUAAGUAAUGUGAAUUGCAGAAUUCAGUGAAUCAUCGAAUCUUUGAACGCACAUUGCGCCCCCUGGUAUUCCGGGGGGCAUGCCUGUCCGAGCGUCAUUACAACCCUCAAGCUCAGCUUGGUGUUGGGCCCCGCCGCCCCGGCGGGCCCUAAAGUCAGUGGCGGUGCCGUCCGGCUCCGAGCGUAGUAAUUCUUCUCGCUCUGGAGGUCCGGUCGUGUGCUCGCCAGCAACCCCCAAUUUUUUUCAGGUUGACCUCGGAUCAGGUAGGGAUACCCGCUGAACUUAAGCAUAUCAAUAGCGGAGGA